Molecule: long non-coding RNA, 758 nt
Organism: Mastomys coucha (southern multimammate mouse)
Lineage: Eukaryota; Metazoa; Chordata; Mammalia; Rodentia; Muridae
Exons: 3
Source: RefSeq, a predicted model, not a curated record
GGCAGAGUGGGCAGUACUCCCUGUAGAUCCGGCCAUGAUGCUGGUUUCCUGUGGACCUCAUCCUAUGCUUCAUGGGAAGCCAAUUCAGAAGAACCUGCUGUGAUUCAGAGAGAGAAGAGCAGCUCAAUAACCCUGGAGGGAGGAGACAGUUUGCCUCUCUGCAAAAUUCACAGACUCCUCAUACCUUAAGGCACCAGACCAAGAGGCAGCGAAGAACAGCUGCACCCUCCCCAGAGAGGCCCUGAGCUCAGAAGCAGGCAUGAACCUGGAGCUUAAAUGAAAGCAACUGGAAACCUCAGAUCUGCCAGAAACAUUUCCAAGGGUCUCAUUUCCUCAGCAUUUGUGCAUCUGGAAAAAGCAUCUAGCGCAAUUCUCACAGAAGUCCUGGAGGAUACAGUCUAUGCAGUGAGUCUGAAUUGUACACCAGCCAGGAACAAGGGCACCUGAGGUCACUCAGUCUGUAGAGUGACAGUUUGAGGAUGUAGCUGAGGUUCCACAGUGGUGUCUGUGUAAGCCUGGCCGUGUGUGGGAGUCCUACAGGAACAAGCAGAACCGGAAGAAAACAAAGAAAGGAACACUACAUUCUGUGACAUGUCAGGGUGUCAGAGCAUGCCAGCGUGGUCAUUCUGCUUCCUGUGACGGACCUAUGUGGUGUAGUGCCUGAGAAAGGACACCUCCCUACACCAGGGUUCUUGCUCCCUGUCACAGCUCAGAUAUAUACAACUGGCUCUAAUUAAAUGAGCAAGGCUCUUAUGGAA